RNAcentral lists this ribosomal RNA (492 nucleotides) under uncultured bacterium. RNAcentral describes it as "partial 16S ribosomal RNA". It matches the Rfam family "Bacterial small subunit ribosomal RNA", at positions 29 to 507 of the family's 1533-position model. The record is from RNAcentral.
AGUGAACGCUGGCGGUAGGCCUAACACAUGCAAGUCGAACGGCAGCACAGUAAGAGCUUGCUCUUACGGGUGGCGAGUGGCGGACGGGUGAGGAAUACAUCGGACUCUACUUUUUCGUGGGGGAUAACGUAGGGAAACUUACGCUAAUACCGCAUACGACCUACGGGUGAAAGCAGGGGAUCUUCGGACCUUGCGCGAUUGAAUGAGCCGAUGUCGGAUUAGCUAGUUGGCGGGGUAAAGGCCCCCCAAGGCGACGAUCCGUAGCUGGUCUGAGAGGAUGAUCAGCCACACUGGAACUGGGACACGGUCCAGACUCCUACGGGAGGCAGCAGUGGGGAAUAUUGGACAAUGGGCGCAAGCCUGAUCCAGCCAUACCGCGUGGGUGAAGAAGGCCUUCGGGUUGUAAAGACCUUUUGUUGGGAAAGAAAAGCAGCAGGUUAAUACCCCGCUGUUCUGACGGUACCCAAAGAAUAAGCACCGGCUAACUUCGUG